This 250-nucleotide ribosomal RNA is filed under the name uncultured bacterium. Its description in RNAcentral is "partial 16S ribosomal RNA". It matches the Rfam family "Bacterial small subunit ribosomal RNA", at positions 355 to 618 of the family's 1533-position model. The record is from RNAcentral.
UCGAGAAUCUUCCACAAUGGACGAAAGUCUGAUGGAGCGACGCCGCGUGAUUGAUGAAGCGAUUCGUCGUGUAAAGAUCUUUUAUGAGGGAAGAAGUUUAUUGACUGUACCUCAUGAAUAAGGGGCUCCUAACUCUGUGCCAGCAGGAGCGGUAAUACAGAGGCCCCGAGCGUUAUCCGGAAUUAUUGGGCGUAAAGGGUGUGUAGGUGGCGUUGUUAGUCGUUUGUGAAAGAUCCGAGCUUAACUUGGA